Molecule: ribosomal RNA, 253 nt
Filed under: uncultured bacterium
Lineage: Bacteria
Description: partial 16S ribosomal RNA
Rfam family: Bacterial small subunit ribosomal RNA
Source: RNAcentral
UACGGAGGGUGCAAGCGUUAUCCGGAUUCACUGGGUUUAAAGGGUGCGUAGGUGGGCUUGUAAGUCAGUGGUGAAAUCUCCGUGCUUAACAUGGAAACUGCCAUUGAUACUAUAGGUCUUGAAUCUUCUGGAGGUCAGCGGAAUAUGUCAUGUAGCGGUGAAAUGCUUAGAUAUGACAUAGAACACCGAUUGCGAAGGCAGCUGACUACAGGGGCAUUGACACUGAGGCACGAAAGCGUGGGGAUCAAACAGG